ACAAAAGCGUAGAAGGAGAAAAGUAAGUUAUAGACUGUUGUAAUAGAGAGAGAUCCCUUGGCUGGAAGGAUCUUAUAACAAGUAUGGCUGAAGUUCGCUCUGGAGCUGUAACUCUGAAAGUCUUUACAGAGACCGUAGGUUUUACCGGUAGACACCGUUAUAGUCUUCGAGUGGUCUAUGGUAUUUUAAUAGAUUAUUAGGGUGGUAUCACGGAGUGUAACCUUCGUCCCUUUC
This 234-nucleotide non-coding RNA is filed under the name Alkaliphilus oremlandii. RNAcentral's name for it is "T-box sequence". It matches the Rfam family "T-box leader". From Rfam's summary of the family: Uncharged tRNA acts as the effector for transcription antitermination of genes in the T-box leader family. T-boxes are found upstream of many aminoacyl-tRNA synthetase genes and some amino acid biosynthetic genes usually in Gram-positive bacteria. The anticodon of a specific tRNA base pairs to a specifier sequence within the T-box motif, and the NCCA acceptor tail of the tRNA base pairs to a conserved bulge in the T-box antiterminator hairpin. The record is from RNAcentral. Lineage: Bacteria; Bacillati; Bacillota; Clostridia; Peptostreptococcales; Natronincolaceae.